UUCGGGGACAAUCUCUUGUGUUCAGGAGAACCCUAGAAUCACCUGUGAUGUCACCAGUGUUGUGGUGACACCAGCAGCCUAUGGAGAAUCCCUUUAGAGCCUAUUAGUUUUGCAAGCAGGCAUGUUGUUCAGGCUGCUUAGGCUAUUUUGAAGUGAGAAUGGAAAACAAGGAGAGGCCAUAUCAAGACAGAAGAAGGCUGACCUUCUAUCAUGCUGUAGAACAACAAGAAAGAAAUGGUCCUGGGGAAGGUCCAGAUCUACUGGAAGGCAUCAUCCCAACCCUCCACCAUCUCUAAGGAGGAGGAGAGGUUGAAGAGGUUGGAGAAUCUGACAAUCUCCAGAAGAUGACAAAUGGGAGGGAUGAACUCUGGGGAAUCCUGGCCCAUUACACUAACAAGGAUUUGAACAACAACAGAUCUCAACUUCUCCCCUAAGAAGCAGUAUGUAAGCUAAGUGCCACCAUGAUGGGCACCACAGCACGAGGUAGAGCCUGGACUGCCACCGUGAGAGAUGGGCACCACCGCACAAGUUACAGCCUGGACUUCAGGAGACCGUGUCUACUCCUUUAUCUUUGAAUAAGGACCAUUGGAAGGACGUUAGGGCUAGAGGACGAAAUUUGUCAGUAAUAGUGAAGAAAAAGCCAUGGAUGACUUUCUGCUCCUCGGAAUGGCCUGUUUUUGGAGUAGGUUGGCCACCGGAACAUUUUACUUACCCACCAUAAGGGCUAUGAAGGCCAUUGUUUUUCAGGAAGGGCCAGGGUCGCAUCCAGAACAGCACCCAUACAUGACAGUAUGGGAGGACUUGGCAUGCUACCCACCCCCGUGGGUUCACCCAUUCCUCCCACCUCUCUGCCCUGGCACCAAGAUCCUAGCCAUCUGAGAAAAUGCUGAGAAAGAGAAACCAAAACCACCGCUCGGGGGAGAUGAUGAACACAGCACACCAGUGAUGAAACUCCUCAAGAUCUAUCCAGAGAUUGAAGAACCCCCUGAGUGGCCCGACACCCCUUAACCCCCCACCGUAUGCUCCCCAGCUCCAACCUUCAGCUUCCUCGGGACCUCUGCCUCAGGCCUGGGCAGGAGGAGAGGGUCCCUCCACAGGAACAAGGAGCUGGCGAGGAGUCACCCCUGAGGGGCCUGCUGAUUCAACCGUGGCACUUCCACUCAGGGCUAUUGGGGCUCCCCCUGCUGAUCCGGAUAGUCUGCAGCCCUUACAGUAUUGGCCUUUUUCCUCUUCUGAUCUCUAUAAUUGGAAAGCUAAUCACCCUCCUUUUUCAGAGAACCCCGCAGGACUCAUAGGGUUGGUCGAAUCACUAAUGUAUUUGCACCAGCCGACCUGGGAUGACUGCCAACAGCUUCUGUAGACCUUAUUCACCACAGAGGAGAGAGAAAGGAUUUUCCUCGAGGCUCAGAAAAACAUCCGAGAUGAGGUUGGGCAGCCUGUCCAACCUCCAGCCAAGAUAGUUGAAGGAUUCCCGCUAACCCAACCCCGAUGGGAUUACAAUACAGCACAAGGUAGGGAACGACUGUCCAAUUAUCACCGGGCCCUAGAGGUGGGUAUCAGAGGUGCUACUUGGCGGCCCAUGAAUCUGGCCAAGGUAGGAGAGGUUAUGCAGUGAGCAACUGAGCACCCCUCAGUCUUCCUCGAAAGGCUCAUGGAGGCUUACAGAAGAUAUAUCCUAUUUGAUCCCACAUCAGAGGGUCAAAGGGCCUGUGAUUAUGGCCUUCAUUGGCCAGUCGGUUCCCCACAUUAGAAAGAAGUUACAGCGAAUUGAGGGCUUGCAGGAUUAUACCAUGAGGGAUGUAGUUAGAGCAGCAGAGAAAGUGUAUCAUAAGAGAGAAACAGAAGAUGAAAACUUAGAGAGAGAAAAGAGGAUGAGGAUAGGAGAGACAGGAGACAGGAAAAGGUUUUGACUAGGAUACUGGCCACAGUAAGAGAAAGAGAUAAAGGGAGAAGAGGUAGACAGUUAGGGAACCUGGGAGACAGAAGAUACCAGGGACCAAGGAGACCCAGAGAAGGCAGACAGCACCUGGAGAGGAAGCAAUGCGCAUAUUGCAAGGAAAUGGGCCACUGGAUGAGUGACUGUCUGAAAAAGAAGCAAGAGGUGAAGGUGCUUUCUCUUGGAGAAGAUGAAGACUCGGAGAAACAGGGCUCGGCCCCCCUCCCCAAGCCUAGGGUAACUUUAGAAGUUGAGGGGACCCCUGUGGACUUUCUAGUCGACACUGGGGCAGAAUUUUCAGUACUCAAGACACCACUAGGAAAAGUGAAGAAAAACGAAAAAACCUUGGUGAUCGGGACCAUGGGACAAAAAUCGUAUCCAUGGACCACAUCCUGAAUAGUAGACAUAGGGCAAAAACAAGUAACUCAUUCGUUUCUAGUCAUUCCAGAGUGUCCUAUGCCCUUAUUGGGGAGAGACUUACUAACCAAUUAAAAGCACAAAUAACUUUUACCUCUCAUCGACCAGAGGUAUCCUGGGGAAUGAAAGCACCCCAGACUCUAGAGCUAACUUUACAACUAGGAAAAGAAUAUCGACUCUACCAAAGUAAAGUGAAGCCCCCUGAGGGAUUAAAGGACUGGUUGAAUCGAUACCCUAAGGUGUGGGCAGAGACAGGAGGAAUGGGCAUGGCAAAACAGGUUCCUCCUGUGGUGAUUGAACUUAAGUCCGGGGCCACCCCUAUAGGGGUCUGACAAUAUCCCAUGAGCAAAGAAGCUCAAGAGGGUAUACGCCCCCAAAUCAACAAACUGCUCCAACAAGGGAUUUUGGUCCCAUGCAAAUCCCCUUGGAACACUCCUCUACUUCCUGUAAAAAAAAAAAAAAAACUAGGGACCUGUGACCUGUGAUCCAGUUCAGGAUCUUAGAGAAGUCAACAAGAGGGUUCAAGACAUACACCCCAUGGUGCCAAAUCCUUAUAACCUCCUCAGCACCUUGUCACCUGGUUGGACGUGGUACACAGUCCUAGAUCUCAAAGACGCUUUCUUCUGUUUGAGGUUACAUCCCAACAGCCAGCCUUUGUUCGCUUUUGAAUGGCGAGAUUCUGAGAGUGGACAAGCUGGACAGCUCACAUGGACGAGGUUGCCUCAGGGAUUCAAGAACUCGCCCACCUUGUUUGAUGAAGCCCUACACCGAGACCUUGCCCCCUUCCGAGCCAGUAACCCACAGGUGACUCUUCUGCAGUAUGUAGAUGACCUCCUACUAGCUGCAGAAACAUGUGAGGACUGUGAAACUGGGACUCAAAACCUCCUGGUCGAGCUAGGUUAGCUGGGGUAUCGGGUCUCUGCUAAAAAGGCUCAGUUAUGCCGGACAGAAGUGACCUACUUAGGAUAUGUUCUGAGAGAUGGACAACAGUGGCUCACAGAAGCCAGAAAACAAGCCGUUAUGCAGAUCCUGGCCCCAACCACUGCUAGCCAGGUAAGAGAGUUCCUGGGGACUGCUAGGUUUUAUAGACUCUGGAUUCCCAAAUUUGCCACUCUGGCAGCCCCAUUGUACCCAUUAACCAAAGAAAAAGGAGAGUUCAUCUGGACCAGAGAACAUCAGCUAGUCUUUCAAACUCUCAAAAAGGCGCUACUGCAGGCUCCAGCAUUGGCCCUGCCAGAUGUGAGCAAGCCUUUUACCGUAUACAUUGAUGAAAGAAAUGGGGUGGCAAGGGGAGUCCUUACCCAUGUUUUGGGGCCAUGGAAGCACCCAGUAGCCUACUUAUCAAAGAAGCUGGACCCUGUGGCCAGCGGAUGGCCCUCCUGCCUGCAAGUGAUAGCAGCCACGGCUGUGCUAGUAAGAGAUGCUUACAAACUGACUAUGGGCCAGAAUGUUACCAUAAUGGCCCCGCACUCUCUUGAGAGCAUUGUCAGGUAACCACUGGACCGCUGGAUGACUAACACCAGAAUGACGCACUACCAGAGCCUAUUGCUGACAGAGCAAGUAAGUUUUGCACCCCCAGCCAAUCUCAACCCUGCUACUUUACUACCUGGGGUUGACGAGGCCCCUGCACAUAAGUGUGAGGAAAUACUGGCAGAAGAGACUGGAAUCUGGCCAGACUUCACAGACCAACAUUGGCCAGGGGAGAUGACCUGGUUCACUGAUGGAAGCAGCUUCAUGGUAGAAGGUAAGCGGAGGGCUGGGGCAGCAUUAGUGGAUUAGUGGAAAGUCUGUCAUAUGGGCCAGCAGCCUGACGGAGGGUACAUCAGCUCAAAAAGCAGAACUUAUCUCACUAAUUCAAGCCUUAAGGCUGGCAGAAGGAAGGACUCUUAAUGUCUAUACCGUCAGCCGGUAUGCUUUUGCCACGGCCCAUGUUCACAAAGCAAUAUACCAACACCAUGGACUGCUAACGUCUGCCGGCAAGGAUAUCAAAAAUAAAGAAGAAAUUCUCAGCUUAUUAGAAGCUGUCCAUCUGUUCCAUAGAGUGGCAAUUAUCCAUUGCCCAGGACACCAGAAGGGAACGGGGCCCGCUGAAAAGGGAAACCAAAUGGCAGACCAAGAAGCCAAAAAAGCAGCCCAAGGGCCAAUGACUCUGGUGGCAAGAACCCAACAGCCCGCCAACGAGGAAAUAACUAAAAGAACCCUCACAGAUGAAGAGGGGCGAGAUUACUUAGAUAACAUACACCAUCUGACUCAUUUAGGAACUAAAAAAUUAAUAAAAUUGGUUAGUAAGUCCCCCUAUUACAUUCCUGGAUUAAAAA
Molecule: long non-coding RNA, 4671 nt
Organism: Mus musculus (house mouse)
Lineage: Eukaryota; Metazoa; Chordata; Mammalia; Rodentia; Muridae
Product: predicted gene, 33198
Exons: 4
Source: RefSeq, a predicted model, not a curated record